Molecule: ribosomal RNA, 253 nt
Filed under: uncultured bacterium
Lineage: Bacteria
Description: partial 16S ribosomal RNA
Rfam family: Bacterial small subunit ribosomal RNA
Source: RNAcentral
UACGAAGGGGGCGAGCGUUGUUCGGAAUUACUGGGCGUAAAGGGCGCGCAGGCGGCCUUAGAAGUCAGAUGUGAAAGCCCCGGGCUCAACCUGGGAAUGGCAUUUGAUACUCUGAGGCUGGAGUACGGGAGAGGAGAGUGGAAUUCCCAGUGUAGAGGUGAAAUUCGUAGAUAUUGGGAAGAACACCGGUGGCGAAGGCGGCUCUCUGGACCGUAACUGACGCUGAGGAGCGAAAGCCAGGGGAGCAAACGGG